Long non-coding RNA from Mirounga angustirostris (Northern elephant seal), 3258 nucleotides. RefSeq lists it as uncharacterized. Lineage: Eukaryota; Metazoa; Chordata; Mammalia; Carnivora; Phocidae. The record is from RefSeq and is a predicted model, not a curated record. The transcript has 2 exons.
GUGCAGGAUCGCAGAAGGAGCACGGGGACCCGGAUGGUGGCAUCCACUAUGCAGAGCUGAGCCAGCAGGAGGCUGGAGACAACAGGGACAAGGGUAGGGGUGCACCACAUCUAGAAGAGGAGACCUCUCUCACUACCGUCUACAGUGAGGUCCGCAGGCAAGGCCAGGCCAUGAGCAUGAUUUAACCAGAGGAAGCAGGAGAAUCCCGCCCUCCGGGGACAUCUGUCUUGUGAACCUGAUGCCCGAAGCUCUGGUCCUGCCUUUUCCCCCUCUCACUGCUCUGAGCAGGGACUGCGUGGAUCCAACUAUCAGCUAUUUCUAUGCUAAAUUGUUCUGCACAAGUUCCCCGUGAGACCCAAUAUCCUGCCUCAACCAAUCUUGGACACCAGCCAGCAUCAGUCAUGUGCUGAGAGCUGUUCACAGACGACGUGAAUCCGUAAUCGUCAGCGCUGGCUGAGUGCUGGCCCGGUGACACGCACUCUCUGACCAUUCUGCCCGCUCCUAACGCACCGGGUCCUCGUGGACUGUCUGUGAGGUGGGGAUCGUUGUGCCCACUUUACAGAUCAGUAGAAGGAGCCAGAAAGGCUGACUCUCCAGGCUGCACAGCCGGGAGCCCCGGAGUCAGGACUCAGCCCAGGGAACGUGCUCCAGGGCCCGUCUCUCCAGCCCUCGGCUGUCCCCUGUAGUGGCAAACCUCCUUCUGUCCUGUCCUGUUGGCCAAUGGCCCAGCCUCCUGUUGCUCAGGAAAAAGCAGAAGUUCUAGUUCCUGACAGUUAGUGUUAACUGACUGCAUUGGUAGACACCUGUGUCCCUCUCUCCUGUCCCCAUGGAGGACGCUGAGCUCCUCUGGGCUCAGUGAGGACUUUUCCCUGCACUUCAAGGCCCUUCCCUGGGGACCUGUCCUCUCCUGCAUUCCUGUCUCUGGCUCGUCCCCGUGACCCUGCUGGCUCCUUCCCUGCAGCCCUCAGCUUGUCUCCGUGCUGCCCCUGCUCCAUACCUGAGCCCCCACCUUGACCUCACCUUAUGGGGACCCCUAGAGAGCCAGGAGGUGGCCCCCACGUGACACCAUUGAUGCCCCUUUCCUUCGCCAACGCCCUCUGCCCUCGGGUCCCUGACGGCCACUCUCCUGGACCCCCUGGCCCACCUGCCACCCUCCCAGACUCCUCAGCCGUCCCUCCAGGGCUUCUCUUCAUUCACACGGUGGCACUUCCGAGGGUCUGGGCAGGACCCUUCCCAUCUCCUAGUGUCUUUCUCUCUCUGGGGCCCCUGCUCCAGGAAUUCAGUGACCACUCACACCGCUGAUGCCCAGGGCUGCCUCCCCGCCCCACGCCCUCUGCUCAGCCCCACCCCUGCCCUCCAGCCCCAUCGGCCACAUCCCUGCCCCUGUGCCCUCCUCCACCCUCUCCUCCUGCGGUCACAGACCCUACUUCCCUUUCUGUAAUACCAGGACCUGGUGAGAAAGAGCAGGAACUCCUCUCCCACAGGAAGGAAAACAGAAGCAAUUUCCUGUAAUCAGACAAUAAAUGUGCACAUGUUGUUUGUAGGAGAGGUGGGAGCAGUUCACCUGAGCCCAAGAAAAAUACUAUAGGGUCACCUCUCGGUAUGGGACACAUUUUCUCUCCUUCCAUGCUCUACCGCCAUUCCCCCAGGUGACGAAGCAGCCUGCGGUUUGCCCUAAUUAGUAAUUCAAGCAAGACAAAAGUGGGUCUCAAUUGUCCCUUCCUCUCCAGCUCCAGUGGAAACGGGUCGAUCCCCUGAGAUCAGAGGAAAGCAGAGAAGCUUAUCAUCCCUAAAACCUCAGCGUCUGCACGGUAACACACACGCACACGCACACACACACACACGCACCAGCCUCCAGCCAGGCAGCUAUGUGCGGGUCAGAACUAGGUCUGUCCCACAAACAUGCAGAUCACAAUAUGAAGGAGGACUCUAAGUGUCUGAGAACACUGUCAUCGUCUGGACAGCUGGCAGAGCAGGGCCGUGUCUCUGAAUCGUGCAGUCCAUUUCCGAGCUCAGCUCCUUUCCCUCCAGGGUCCCUACAGCUCACCCUUGCUGGUGGGUGGGCAGCAGGGAAAAACCAUUUCCCGGACACUGGGAUGCGGUAACUCCAGCAGGUGGUGGGUGUUGUUGGCAUUAGUCACACUGCACACGGUCGGUGACAGAUGUUUGACAUGAUUCCUAUUCUCAGUCUAGACCGGACAGUGGGGGGUGAGGGCUGGAGGUGAGAACACGAGCCCACGGUACCCCCCACAGAGCCUCACGGGGCUCCCUGGCUCCCAUGCCCUGUCCCACCCUCUCACCCUUUCUGUGGAGCUGGACUAGAUGCCUCUCCAUGUCUGCAGACCACUCAAGAGCCUCAGGGUUCUCCCCACGACCCGCAGCACAAACUUCUAAAUCUGUGUUCAAGUCCUAACGAGUGUAAUGACGGGGGCCUUCCCUCCCUGUUGGCCUUAUAUCCUGCAGUCUUGGUGAACUCACUAGUCCUAGGAAUUUUGUGUGGAUUCCUUGAGAUUUUCUGUGCACACAAACAUAUAAACAAUGUCUAUAACAAACACAGAUGAUUUCUUUCUCCUUUUCAAUCUAUAUAUUAUUUCCUUUUCUUGUCUUAUUGCACUGACCAGACUUCCAGGAGAAUGUGGAAUAGCAGUGCUGAGAACAAACAGCCUUGCCUCCUUCCCAAUAUUAAGGGAAAAGCUAGUUUUUCACCACGAAGUGUGCUAUUAACGGUAGGGAAUUUUUUAAAUAUGCUUUAUUAGAUUUAUCAGUUUCAUUAUCUCUGCUCUUGUCUUUCCUAUAUCCUUUUUCCACUUGCUCUGGGUUUAUUUUGCUCUUACUUUUCUAGAUUCAUGAGGUAAAUGCUUAAAUUAUUAAUUUGAGCAUUUCUUCUUUUGUAAUAUCUGCUUCUCAUUAUAUAUAUUACCAUAUAAGCCCUGGGUUAGCUUCUUGUCACACAUUUUGAUAUCUUGUGUUUUUCAUUACCAUUCACUUCAAAUAUUUAAAAUUUCCCUCAAGAUUUCCUCUUUAACUCAUGGGUUAUUAAGGAGUGGAUGUUUAAUUUCUGCAUGUUUGCAAAUUUUCCUGUUAUUUUUCUGUUUAUAAAUUCUACUCCAGGGGCAUCUGGGUGGCUCAGUGGGUUCAACAUUGGCCUUCGGCUGAGGUCGUGAUCCCAGGGUCCUGGGAUCGAGCUUUGGGUCAGACUCCCUGCUCAGCAGUUCUCUGCUUCCCCCUCCCCAAUGCUCAUGCUCUCUCUCUCUCUCU